This 459-nucleotide ribosomal RNA is filed under the name uncultured bacterium. Its description in RNAcentral is "partial 16S ribosomal RNA". It matches the Rfam family "Bacterial small subunit ribosomal RNA", at positions 338 to 795 of the family's 1533-position model. The record is from RNAcentral.
CCUACGGGAGGCAGCAGUGAGGAAUAUUGGUCAAUGGGCGCGAGCCUGAACCAGCCAAGUAGCGUGAAGGAUGACUGCCCUACGGGUUGUAAACUUCUUUUAUAAAGGAGUAAAGUGAGGUACGUGUGCCUUUUUGUAUGUACUUUAUGAAUACGGAUCGGCUAACUCCGUGCCAGCAGCCGCGGUAAUACGGAGGAUCCGAGCGUUAUCCGGAUUUAUUGGGUUUAAAGGGAGCGUAGAUGGGUUGUUAAGUCAGUUGUGAAAGUUUGCGGCUCAACCGUAAAAUUGCAAUUGAUACUGGCGGCCUUGAGUACAGUUGAGGUAGGCGGAAUUCGUGGUGUAGCGGUGAAAUGCUUAGAUAUCACGGAGAACUCCGAGUGCGAAGGCAGCCUACUAAACUGCCACUGACAUUGAUGCUCGAAAGUGUGGGUGUCAAACAGGAUUAGAUCCCCUGUAGUC